UCAACACAACGAGCGAUGGAAAGGAGCAACUAUCACUGCCAGGCCAUCCUGUGUUCAUCAGGCCAGUCAAUUUUGCAUUUCUGCAGGAUUUUUGAGCAUGUCAAAUUUCUUAUGGUAAAUGCCCAUUGAACCAUAUUGCAAAUGUACAUGCACUUGCAAUAUGAUUCUAUAGUGAAAAAACAUCACCAAAUGGACAUGAUGAAAUCAACACAACGAGUGAUGGAAAGGAACAACUAUCACUGCCCGGCCAUCCCGAGUUCAUCAGGCCAGUCAAUUUUGCAUUUCUGCAGGAUUUUUGAGCAUGUCAAAUUUCUUAUGGUAUUUGGCCCCAAAAAAGUGACUUUUGACUUUGACUUUUGACUUCCUAUGAAAUCAUAUUGCAAAUGGACAAAUCAUAUUCCUUAUGCACAAGUAAAAAAAAAUUAUGAUAAUACAAUUUUACAAAUGUAUAUUCAUACAGUUCUUACACAUUAUGAAUUGACAUAAAAUCGAAACAAUUUCGAAAAACGGUCCAGAAAGCACUUUUUUAUGAGGGUGAUAAGUUUUUAAAAAAGUUCACAUUUUCGACUUUUGACUUCCUAUGAAAUCAUAUUGCAAAUGGAAAAAACAUAUGCCUUAUGCACAAGUAAAAAAAAAAAAAAAAAAAAAAUUAUGAUAUUAAAAUAUGACUAAAGUAUGUUGAUACAGUUCUUAUACAUGUGUAAUUGACACAAGAAUGGAAAGAAUUUUGAAAAACGGUCCAAAAAGCACUUUUUUAAGGGUGUGUGAAGUUUUUUACAAAAUUUUGACAUUUUUGACUUUUGACUUCCUAUGAAAUCAUAUUGCAAAUGGACAAAACAUAUUUCUUAUGCACAUGUAAAAAAAUAAUAAUAAUGCUAAUAAAAUUGGACAAAAGUAUAUUCAUACAGUUCUUACACAUGUGUAAUUGACAAAAAAAUCGAAAGAAUUUCGAAAAACGGUCCAGAAAGCACUUUUUAAGGGGUGAUAAGUUUUUGACAAAAAAAUCAUUUUUUCAAAAUUUUGCUUUUGGAUGUUGACUUGAGUUCCAUUUCCAAAAUGAAAAACCACGGUGGAGCGCACUCGCCCCCUGUUGGAUUUUUGAAGUGUUACAACUGGCAAUUGCCAUAUGGCAUUUGCAAUAAACUUUGCAUGAAUCAACGCCGAAUUGGGUGGUAUUGGACAUCGUGUAUAUGGUUUGUCCAAUGUCAAUGAUUUGCCAUUAAUUUUUGUCCAUUUCAGGGGGGUCUUCCCUUACUCAGGUUUUCGCCUGCCGUAUCAGUUCUGUUAUACUCACAGACAGGAUUUUAACAUUUUGGAAACUUUAGAGUGUUUUAUAUCCACAUCUACCAAUUAUAUGCAUAUCCGAGCUUCUGGGCCUGAGUAACAGGGCACGCUUCCCAUCCAUAUGCCGAAAUACUGCCACCAAGCCAAAAGAAGUUCAACUCCUUGUUCGAAGACUGAUUUAAGUCUGUCAAUCACACAGCAUCAUCUGAUUUAGGAAUUUGCAGUGUGCCAUGCUUCUGUGAGAGACAAUUGUCAUCUUAAGCAGCAUUGGUUUGGUGGUUUCUGUAAAGCCACAUUGGUUCUUGUGCUGAUUCAUUGACUUCGCUGUGUAAAGAAGGCAGAUAUUGCACACAUAAAAUCCCUGACCACGACGUGAUUUGAACACGCAACCUUCUGAUCUGGAGUCAGACGCGCUACCUUUGCCCCACAAGGUCUUGUACAAUGUGUUUUUUGGAGGGGAUGCCUAGUUCAGAUUUUGUUGACUGUAUCAUUUGGAAUGAAGACCUGGUUCUCUGGGGAACUGUACCAUCUGACAAUGCCCCCUCGUCAGCACGUGCCUCUGCCCGGCAGGUUAGGUGUAUGAAAAUAAGCAAAAGCAGAGCCCGGAUAGCUCAGUCGGUAGAGCAUCAGACUUUUAAUCUGAGGGUCCAGGGUUCAAGUCCCUGUUCGGGCGAUGCUUUAAUGUUCACAAUUCUUCACUACGCUGUCUUUCUGAACUUGCAUUUUCCUUGACUUUCCAUGACAUGUUCGACCUGUGGAC
Long non-coding RNA from Oncorhynchus tshawytscha (Chinook salmon), 2044 nucleotides. NCBI's taxonomy places the organism in Eukaryota, Metazoa, Chordata, Actinopteri, Salmoniformes, Salmonidae. The record is from Ensembl.